AAUAGAAGAAUGACAAAUCAUAUAUUUCCUCUUGAUUUUCAAUUUUUUCCUCCUCAAAAAAUUCAAAUCCAACUAAAAAUGCUAAAAAUCAAGAGGAAAAAUUUGAUUUAUCAUUCUCCUAUU
Molecule: non-coding RNA, 123 nt
Organism: Gossypium raimondii (Peruvian cotton)
Lineage: Eukaryota; Viridiplantae; Streptophyta; Magnoliopsida; Malvales; Malvaceae
Source: Rfam